This 237-nucleotide ribosomal RNA is filed under the name uncultured Glomeromycotina. Its description in RNAcentral is "partial 18S ribosomal RNA". The stretch from base 39 to 237 matches the Rfam family "Eukaryotic small subunit ribosomal RNA", at positions 686 to 887 of the family's 1831-position model. The record is from RNAcentral. Lineage: Eukaryota; Fungi; Glomeromycota.
GGUGUGUAGGUUGGUCAUGCCUCCGGUAUGUACUGAUCUCACUGAUUCCUCCUUCCUUAUGAACCGUAAUGCCAUUAAUUUGGUGUUGCGGGGAAUUUGGACUGUUACUUUGAAAAAUUAGAGUGUUUAAAGCAAGCUAACGCUUGGAUACAUUAGCAUGGAAUAAUGAAAUAGGACGUUCGAUCUUAUUUUGUUGGUUUCUAGGAUUGACGUAAUGAUUAAUAGGGAUAGUUGGGC